This 468-nucleotide ribosomal RNA is filed under the name uncultured bacterium. RNAcentral describes it as "partial 16S ribosomal RNA". It matches the Rfam family "Bacterial small subunit ribosomal RNA", at positions 28 to 507 of the family's 1533-position model. The record is from RNAcentral.
GACGAACGCUGGCGGCGUGCUUAACACAUGCAAGUCGAACGGUGAUGCUCCAGCUUGCUGGAGUGGAUCAGUGGCGAACGGGUGAGUAACACGUGAGCAACCUGCCCCAGACUCUGGAAUAAGCGCUGGAAACGGCGUCUAAUACUGGAUACGAAACUGGCCCGCAUGGGCAUGGUUUGGAAAGUUUUUCGGUUUGGGAUGGGCUCGCGGCCUAUCAGCUUGUUGGUGAGGUAAUGGCUCACCAAGGCGACGACGGGUAGCCGGCCUGAGAGGGCGACCGGCCACACUGGGACUGAGACACGGCCCAGACUCCUACGGGAGGCAGCAGUGGGGAAUAUUGCACAAUGGGCGAAAGCCUGAUGCAGCGACGCCGCGUGAGGGAUGACGGCCUUCGGGUUGUAAACCUCUUUCAGCAGGGAAGAAGCGAAAGUGACGGUACCUUCAGAAGAAGCACCGGCUAACUACGUG